This 784-nucleotide ribosomal RNA is filed under the name uncultured bacterium. RNAcentral describes it as "bacterial SSU rRNA". It matches the Rfam family "Bacterial small subunit ribosomal RNA", at positions 69 to 851 of the family's 1533-position model. The record is from RNAcentral.
GCAGCACGGGUAGCAAUACCUGGUGGCGAGUGGCGCACGGGUGCGUAACGCGUAUGCAAUCUACCUAUAACUGGGGAAUAGCCUUCCGAAAGGAAGAUUAAAACCGCAUAAUAUCACGAAACGGCAUCGUUUUGUGAUCAGAUCUCCGGAGGUUAUAGAUGAGCAUGCGUGACAUUAGCUAGUUGGUGAGGUAACGGCUCACCAAGGCUACGAUGUCUAGGGGGUCUGAGAGGAUGAUCCCCCACACUGGUACUGAGACACGGACCAGACUCCUACGGGAGGCAGCAGUAAGGAAUAUUGGACAAUGGCCGCAAGGCUGAUCCAGCCAUGCCGCGUGCAGGAUGAAGGUGCUCUGCAUUGUAAACUGCUUUUGUUCGGGAAUAAACCCCUCUACGUGUAGAGGGCUGAAUGUACCGAAAGAAUAAGGGACGGCUAACUUCGUGCCAGCAGCCGCGGUAAUACGAAGGUCCCAAGCGUUAUCCGGAUUUAUUGGGUUUAAAGGGUGCGUAGGCGGGUUAUUAAGUCAGUGGUGAAAGCCUUCAGCUUAACUGAAGAAUUGCCAUUGAUACUGAUGAUCUUGAGUAUGAUUGAGGUGGGCGGAAUGUGUCAUGUAGCGGUGAAAUGCUUAGAUAUGACACAGAACACCGAUUGCGAAGGCAGCUCACUAAGCCAUAACUGACGCUGAUGCACGAAAGCGUGGGGAGCAAACAGGAUUAGAUACCCUGGUAGUCCACGCCCUAAACGAUGAUCACUCGAUGUGUGCGAUACACUGUACGCGUCUGAG